This 253-nucleotide ribosomal RNA is filed under the name uncultured bacterium. RNAcentral's name for it is "partial 16S ribosomal RNA". It matches the Rfam family "Bacterial small subunit ribosomal RNA", at positions 524 to 776 of the family's 1533-position model. The record is from RNAcentral.
UACGGAGGGUGCAAGCGUUGUUCGGAAUUACUGGGCGUAAAGCGCGCGUAGGUGGCUAUUUAAGUCAGAUGUGAAAGUCCACGGCUCAACCGUGGAAGUGCAUUUGAAACUGGAUAGCUUGAGUAUUGGAGGGGGUAGUGGAAUUCCCGGUGUAGAGGUGAAAUUCGUAGAUAUCGGGAGGAAUACCGGUGGCGAAGGCGACUACCUGGCCAAAUACUGACACUGAGGUGCGAAAGCGUGGGGAGCAAACAGG